RNAcentral lists this ribosomal RNA (861 nucleotides) under Triticum aestivum (bread wheat). RNAcentral describes it as "partial small subunit ribosomal RNA". The record is from RNAcentral. Lineage: Eukaryota; Viridiplantae; Streptophyta; Magnoliopsida; Poales; Poaceae.
AUGCAGCUCUGGCUGCUCGAGGGCGCCGUGGAGGCCAUUGGAGACAAGGUGAUUGUCGACCGCCUCGACAGCCGGACCUUUGAGCGCGCCGACACCAAGCUUUUCGUGUGCUGGGUCUGGGUCUGGAGCCUCUCCUUCAUCCCGACCAAGCGCACGAUCUGGAAGCAUGCGAGGGGGGCGGGCCGCGUGGAGGAGAUGCAAGGCUACUCUCCACUGAGCCGCGCGGUCGCUCCCCCGCCGGAGCUGCGGCAGUACGACCUGCUGCUGCAUGUCGACCGUGUUGAAGACUGGACGCCGCUCUCGCCGCGCUCCUCGCACUCGCCGCAGAGCGGCCUCCCCUCCGACGACGAUGAUGAGGAUGACCGCCCAUACCCCCGCAUCGACCCCGGGGUCUGGACCGUGCGCGUCGAGGAUGGGCGGCCCGCGCAGGCCCUGGCGCCCCUGCUGCACCCGCCGCCGCGCGUCGCCUCCUCUGGCUGCAAGGGGAUGCCGUCGGGUGGCGCACUCAGAGGACACGACAGAGAUGACCCGGGCUACCACCGGCGCUCAUGGAAGGACACGCUGCUGAGGAGGGGGCGCGCGGGCGACCACGGCAAGACGUCCGCGGCCAGUACCAGGCACCGCAGUCGCACCCCGGUGUCGAGGCACCGCCAUUGUGCACCUGGGGACUGGCAGCUCGACGUCGGUGCAUGCAAACAGCCUGCCCAAGAGCGCGCCCCUGGCGGAUCGAGGGGCAAGAGCAGGGAGGACGCCCGCCCAUCGGCCUCCCGGGGCAAGGAGCCUGCCAAGGAGAGGUUGCUGCCGCCGGGGCAGGGGGGCGCCUGUGUUCCUUCUCACCCCGCCACGCAAGCUGCACCGUGA